RNAcentral lists this unclassified non-coding RNA (501 nucleotides) under uncultured Glomus. RNAcentral's name for it is "SSU rRNA". It matches the Rfam family "Eukaryotic small subunit ribosomal RNA", at positions 591 to 1092 of the family's 1831-position model. Lineage: Eukaryota; Fungi; Glomeromycota; Glomeromycetes; Glomerales; Glomeraceae. The record is from RNAcentral.
CCAAUAGCGUAUAUUAAAGUUGUUGCAGUUAAAAAGCUCGUAGUUGAAUUUCGGGAUCAAUAUUUCGGUCAUGCCGUUGGUAUGCACUGUUAUCAUUGAUUUCUCACCUUCUAAAGAACCGUAAUGCCAUUAAUUUGGUGUUACGGGGAAUUAGGACUGUUACCUUGAAAAAAUUAGAGUGUUUAAAGCAGGCUCACGCUUGAAUACAUUAGCAUGGAAUAAUGAAAUAGGACAUCCGAUUCUAUUUUGUUGGUUUCUAGGAUCGAUGUAAUGAUUAAUAGGGAUAGUUGGGGGCAUUAGUAUUAAAUUGUCAGAGGUGAAAUUCUUGGAUUUAUUGAAGACUAACUACUGCGAAAGCAUUUGCCAAGGAUGUUUUCAUUAAUCAAGAACGAAAGUUAGGGGAUCGAAGACGAUCAGAUACCGUCGUAGUCUUAACCAUAAACUAUGCCGACUAGGGAUCGGAUGAUGUUAAUUUUUUAAUGACUCAUUCGGCGCCUUACG